RNAcentral lists this ribosomal RNA (550 nucleotides) under uncultured bacterium. Its description in RNAcentral is "bacterial SSU rRNA". It matches the Rfam family "Bacterial small subunit ribosomal RNA", at positions 355 to 896 of the family's 1533-position model. The record is from RNAcentral.
UAGGGAAUCUUCGGCAAUGGGGGCAACCCUGACCGAGCAACGCCGCGUGAGUGAAGAAGGUUUUCGGAUCGUAAAGCUCUGUUGUAAGUCAAGAACGAGUGUGAGAGUGGAAAGUUCACACUGUGACGGUAGCUUACCAGAAAGGGACGGCUAACUACGUGCCAGCAGCCGCGGUAAUACGUAGGUCCCGAGCGUUGUCCGGAUUUAUUGGGCGUAAAGCGAGCGCAGGCGGUUUGAUAAGUCUGAAGUUAAAGGCUGUGGCUCAACCAUAGUUCGCUUUGGAAACUGUCAAACUUGAGUGCAGAAGGGGAGAGUGGAAUUCCAUGUGUAGCGGUGAAAUGCGUAGAUAUAUGGAGGAACACCGGUGGCGAAAGCGGCUCUUUGGUCUGUAACUGACGCUGAGGCUCGAAAGCGUGGGGAGCGAACAGGAUUAGAUACCCUGGUAGUCCACGCCGUAAACGAUGAGUGCUAGGUGUUGGAUCCUUUCCGGGAUUCAGUGCCGCAGCUAACGCAUUAAGCACUCCGCCUGGGGAGUACGACCGCAAGGUUG